CCGCAAGCAGCGGCGAUUAGCAGGAAAUUAAGCGAGGAUCAGAAGUCUGCCUCUGUAUAAACCAUCCCAACAACGGGGGUAAAAACCUGCUCCCUGUGUACCAUGGCACUGAGCGACGCUGGUUGCUUGGCUGUGUUUGUGUUGUGGUACCCUCCAAGGUUUUAGAGAGAAUGGUUUUGCUUGUGUUUUCACAUAUUUAAAGUGAAAAAGGGUAAGGUUACCCAACUUGCAGCUCUUGACACACUAAGAAGAAAAAGAUAGCAUGGGAUGUUUUCAUUCUGGCUCCUAGAUAGAGAAAUUUCUGGGUUUUGGCUGAUUUGUGUAAGGAGAAAAGCCAUUUUGUUUACAUUAAGAGUUGCUCCAAAACAUGCCAAUGGAUAAAAAAGGAUCCACAGUUGUGAAAAAUCGCUGUUUGACUCAUCCAGUGAGUACCUUGCUGGAGUUGAUAAACACUGCUGCCUCCAAACAGAAAUCAUCCAGGCAUAGGAGGAGAUCUGUGCCCUUCUUCCACCCUGACUCCUGCUAGAUGCCCUCACCUCUGUACAGGCUUCUGUGCUCCCACGUGCCUUUACUGUGGUGCAAGUAAGGUUUUAUGUGGUGUGUAAACAAGGAAAUCCCUAGAAGCAAAAGAGCACUUUAGAAGUUGGGCUUGCCUGAUGGCAAAAUGAUGACAUGCAGCCACAGCACUGAUAAGGGCUGCAUGUCUGUUGUGUGUUGAGAAAUGGGUGAAACACAGCACAGGGGAGGAAGAGAUGGAAUGUCAUCAUGUGCUUUCCAUUUGCACCAACAUAAAAAAAGGGAUAGUGUUUUCUACUCUUUCCAAGAUAAUGUGAUGUAUGUGUCUGGUUCUAUUAUUUAAAAAAUAUUAAAAUUAUUUGAAAUAUGUUUCAG
This 891-nucleotide long non-coding RNA is filed under the name Junco hyemalis (dark-eyed junco). Its description in RNAcentral is "lncRNA (ENSJHYG00000016133.1)". Lineage: Eukaryota; Metazoa; Chordata; Aves; Passeriformes; Passerellidae. The record is from RNAcentral.